Molecule: ribosomal RNA, 426 nt
Filed under: uncultured bacterium
Lineage: Bacteria
Description: partial 16S ribosomal RNA
Rfam family: Bacterial small subunit ribosomal RNA
Source: RNAcentral
GUGAGGAAUUUUCCGCAAUGGGCGAAAGCCUGACGGAGCAAUGCCGCGUGAAGGAUGAAGGCCUAUGGGUUGUAAACUUCUUUUCUCAGAAAAGAAUUAUGACGGUAUCUGAGGAAUAAGCAUCGGCUAACUCUGUGCCAGCAGCCGCGGUAAGACAGAGGAUGCAAGCGUUAUCCGGAAUGAUUGGUCGUAAAGCGUCUGUAGGUUGUUUAAAAAGUAUUCUGUCAAAGAUUAGGGCUUAACCCUAGAUAGGCAGAAUAAACUUUUAAGCUAGAGUUUGGUAGAGGCAGAGGGAAUUCCCGGUGGAGCGGUGAAAUGCGUAGAUAGCGGGAGGAACACCAAAGGCGAAGGCACUCUGCUGGGCCAAUACUAACACUGAGAGACGAAAGCGAGGGGAGCAAAUGGGAUUAGAUACCCGAGUAGUCC